UGGGGAAUAUUGCACAAUGGGCGGAAGCCUGAUGCAGCGACGCCGCGUGAGGGAUGACGGCCUUCGGGUUGUAAACCUCUUUCAGUAGGGACGAAGCGUAAGUGACGGUACCUGCAGAAGAAGCUCCGGCUAAAUACGUGCCAGCAGCCGCGGUAAUACGUAUGGAGCAAGCGUUAUCCGGAUUCAUUGGGCGUAAAGCGCUCGUAGGCGGUCUGUUAGGUCGGCAAGUUAAAUCCGGGGGCUCAACCCCCGUCCGCUUCCGAUACCGGCAGACUUGAGUUUGGUAGGGGAAGGUGGAAUUCCUAGUGUAGCGAUGGAAUGCGCAGAUAUUAGGAAGAACACCGGUGGCGAAGGCGGCCUUCUGGGCCAUAACUGACGCUGAGGAGCGAAAGCUAGGGGAGCGAACAGG
Molecule: ribosomal RNA, 409 nt
Filed under: Verrucomicrobiota bacterium
Lineage: Bacteria; Pseudomonadati; Verrucomicrobiota
Description: Verrucomicrobia bacterium partial 16S ribosomal RNA
Rfam family: Bacterial small subunit ribosomal RNA
Source: RNAcentral